CCUACGGGAGGCAGCAGUGGGGAAUAUUGCACAAUGGAGGAAACUCUGAUGCAGCGACGCCGCGUGAAUGAUGAAGGCCUUCGGGUCGUAAAGUUCUGUCCUUGGGGAAGAUAAUGACGGUACCCAAGGAGGAAGCCCCGGCUAACUACGUGCCAGCAGCCGCG
Molecule: ribosomal RNA, 164 nt
Filed under: uncultured bacterium
Lineage: Bacteria
Description: partial 16S ribosomal RNA
Rfam family: Bacterial small subunit ribosomal RNA
Source: RNAcentral